UAGCUCCGGUGUCGUUAUUCAUUACAAUGAUACAUAUGUAUAUAAGGGAGUAAUUCUGUUUGGUGGAUAAUCACUUGUUGUUAAUACUUGAUAAGCUCAACAACGACGAGCGACGUUUCAAUCGCCAAUCUUCCAAAAUGGCAAAAUUCACGGCAAUCAUGAUCCUCUUCGCUUGCGUGGCUGUUGCCCUGGCUGCAGUUGCACCAGUAAAGAAUGUCCAGGAGAGAAAGGACUUGGACACCGCUGCGGGCCAUUUUUUGGGCGGUUUUGGUUAUGGUUACCCGUUCUAUGGCGGAUUUUAUGGCGGAUUCCCAGGAUUUGGACACGGAUUCGGAUUUUAUGGUUAAGAUAAGUACAGGGUUUAUGACUAAAGUACUCGGGCCUACUUAUUUAAGAGAUUCUAUGUACCAUUACCGAAAAAAUCUGUAUGUUUUAGAACUUAUGUAAUCACAUAAAAUUGGCUCUCAAAGUCAAAAUAAAGCUCUUUCCUAUUUGAAGUAAUCCUAUUUAUGAGGAAUACAAUUACGCAAAUAA
This is a long non-coding RNA of Folsomia candida, 534 nucleotides long. RefSeq lists it as uncharacterized. Lineage: Eukaryota; Metazoa; Arthropoda; Collembola; Entomobryomorpha; Isotomidae. The record is from RefSeq and is a predicted model, not a curated record. The transcript is spliced from 3 exons.